This 1519-nucleotide long non-coding RNA is filed under the name Equus caballus (horse). RNAcentral's name for it is "lncRNA (ENSECAG00000052653.1)". The record is from RNAcentral. Lineage: Eukaryota; Metazoa; Chordata; Mammalia; Perissodactyla; Equidae.
CAAUGAACCAUGGCAAUUCUAGAAGUCAGGUGAAUAGUUUGUAAGAAGGCUGCUAUUAAGCAUCCAUUAGCAAUAGGAGUUCCUGCAGAAGUUACGAAAUCCAGGGUAUUUCCAAAUUUUGCCAACAGCAUGGCAGACUCCAAAAGCAUAUCUAGAGUCUGUGUAAACAGUGGCAGUUUUCCCUUUUGCUAAUGUGCAAGCUCUAGUAAGAGCUACGAGUUUAACAGCUUGGGCUGAUUUUACAGUGGGUAAAGAAUAAGCUUCAAGCGUUUCAUGCGGGGAAACUAUGGCAUAACCAGUUAUUAUGUUUCCCCAGAAAUUUCACUUACAGGAGCCAUCGGAAAACAGAAUAGGAUCUUCUGACAGCGGAAGCAGAAGAGUUUUAUAAUUCAAGAGAUUGGCUGAUGUCCAGAGGACAUGAAUUCUCUGCAGCGGAGGUCCAGGAUACGUCCACAAUGGGCACUGCAUAGGAAUCCCUCAAGCUGGCGGAGCCUGAUCGCAGAGCCCUGGAAAGCAGGAGGACUUACAAGGGACAGCAAAGCCAGCCUUCCUGCCAUUUCUGGAUGCUUCCACAGAAUUCACUUCCUGGCUUUCAGCAUUUACACAAGUGACCCUUGUGCCUCUUACUUGGAAGUCAGGCCUGAGAGCCCCCAUAAGUCUUCUAGAAAGAAAGAAGUUAAAACAGGCAGCUGAAUGCCCUUUGGGGAAGUUGGCAUUCUAGGAUCUAGGGGAACUGGCUGAGGAGCUAAGUCCUGAGGGGGACGGUUUGAACCAGGAGCCCAGAGAUCCAACAGAUCUUAGGAAUCAGGGACAGGGAGCUGGGGACAUAGGGGAACAGAGGAGGGAGGAGAAGGGGAGUUUUCAUUGAAUUUGCUUCUUAAUCGUUGCUCUAAGUCUGACUUCUGUUCUUUCAACUUAUUAAGAGAUCUCUUAAGGCUAGCCAGUAUACUUUUUUGGGUUUUCUUUUCAACUUGAUCUUCCCAUAAAUACCAAUAAGGCAGCUGCUUGGGAUGUGAGCCCUCUAAAAUAUUUUUCAAAUAUAGAAGUUUUUCCAACUCAAAAGAUCCAUUGUCUGACCAUUGAUGAGUAGGAUCUCCAUUUGUAUAGUUAUUCCAAUAGUGACUCAAUCCACAAGCUUUUUUUAAGGAAAGACUCAGAGGUAACUUUCCUGGCUUAGGAUAAACCUUUACCAUGGACACAAGAGGCGUCCCUGGGGAGGGCACAGAUGAUGUAGCCCCAAGAUCCACAAGUUCACUCGCAGAACUAGUCAGAGAAAGGGAAGACCUUCGUGGCACAGGCGGUAAGGAUGGUGUAGUGAAAACGGUGUCUCUUGUCUCCCACGAGAGCGGGGGAUGCCUCCAGUAACAGACCCGCUAAUCUGUGACACCAGGCAGGUGCUACUAGAAUGGGAUUUUCUAGCACUGUCAAGCAACGAAGGUUGAGACGACAAAGGCCCAUAUGGUUCGGACCCUUUAUGACAGACUCCCCUGGGAGCUUAACACAGCCGGACAGAGACAGA